GCCUCGGUAGCUCAAUUGGUAGAGCAGCGGACUCUUAAUCCGUUGGUUCCAGGUUCGAGUCCUGGCCGGGGUACCA
RNAcentral lists this transfer RNA (76 nucleotides) under Verrucomicrobiales bacterium. Its description in RNAcentral is "tRNA-Lys". It matches the Rfam family "tRNA". Rfam says of the family: Transfer RNA (tRNA) molecules are approximately 80 nucleotides in length. Their secondary structure includes four short double-helical elements and three loops (D, anti-codon, and T loops). Further hydrogen bonds mediate the characteristic L-shaped molecular structure. tRNAs have two regions of fundamental functional importance: the anti-codon, which is responsible for specific mRNA codon recognition, and the 3' end, to which the tRNAs corresponding amino acid is attached (by aminoacyl-tRNA synthetases). tRNAs cope with the degeneracy of the genetic code in two manners: having more than one tRNA (with a specific anti-codon) for a particular amino acid; and 'wobble' base-pairing, i.e. permitting non-standard base-pairing at the 3rd anti-codon position. The record is from RNAcentral. Lineage: Bacteria; Pseudomonadati; Verrucomicrobiota; Verrucomicrobiia; Verrucomicrobiales. RNAcentral also lists the same sequence under 2 other names.